AUUAAAAGUUCUAUACCCUUACUGAAUAGUUAAACACUGAAACUCAUCACUACAGGUUUUCACUGAUAAGUAUAGCCCUCUUUAGCUCUGUUUGAGGAGGGGGGGGAAGCAUUUAUUCUGAUAAAAAUAUCCAGAGAUAGGGAGAGAAGAAAAAAAUAAAUCCUCACCUCAUGUUUCAGGGUUAAAUCAAUUCCAAGGCAGCAGUGAUUAGGAUGGCUGCAAACUAUUCCACAUCUGCCAAGUAUAAAAUUUCUCACACCAUCCUUUACAACACACAGGGCUGCCCACUGUCAGCCAAGGGACUGAUUCAAAGUUCCCAGCUAUCUUUAUGUUGCAGAUAUUCUUAUCACACAUUUGCUCCAAACUGCUGCCAUCACAGAAAGUGUUUGAUGAAAGAAAAUCUUUUCUUUCUGUUGCUUAAAGAAAAUAGAAGUCAAAGGAAGAAAAAAAACAGGUCUGUUUGGAGCUUGUGCAUUGGUAGAAGCAGGGCAUUAUGAAGAUUGAGACAGUUCCUCCUGAAGAAACAGCCCUAAGAAAACUUGCCAGAUGACAAUGAAUACCAACUGCUCUCUGGUGACUGAUUUAUUUUGCUCUCAGACUAAUCUUUAUCAUUUCUGUGUUAGCUAAGAGAGAUGAUCAGAAGGAAGAGUAUUUUUGUAUGGUUGGUUUGUUGUUUUAUGUUUGCUUGCUUUACUCAGCAAAUAGCAAAUUCACUGAUUGGAUUUAUAUUGAAUAAAAAAGUGCAUGUUUGAGUCCA
Molecule: long non-coding RNA, 757 nt
Filed under: Anas platyrhynchos platyrhynchos (common mallard)
Lineage: Eukaryota; Metazoa; Chordata; Aves; Anseriformes; Anatidae
Description: lncRNA (ENSAPLG00000030927.1)
Source: RNAcentral